This 2330-nucleotide long non-coding RNA is filed under the name Brassica napus (rape). Its description in RNAcentral is "long non-coding RNA (BNAP_LNC020655)". Lineage: Eukaryota; Viridiplantae; Streptophyta; Magnoliopsida; Brassicales; Brassicaceae. The record is from RNAcentral.
CACCAGACAUUCCCCUUGAACGGAACAUUGUUACUCGGUUUAGGCAACGAACCAGGGCUAGGAACCGGUCUUGUCCCGCUGAAAUCGAUUUCGUAGAUCUGUGUACCGUCCGGAUUCAAAAUUCCCCAAUGCCUCUCUGUUCCCGAACCGGGUUUCUGGUUUUCAUUGAACAACGAGAACAAAAAUGUCGGUAUAGGUGAACCGGGUCUAACCGGUGUACCGAUUGGCGGGUUAGCAGUCAUCUUCUUGAUCAAAUUCCGGUUAUACGUCGCCGCAUUGAGAAUGUUGGCUCCGGUUUCGUCGAUAUCACCGGAGUUAGGCCACCCGGUUUCAGAGAUUGCAAGCCGGACGUUUGGAUAACCGAGCUUGGUCAUCGCGAAAAUAACCGAAUCGAGCAUCUGGUCUAGAAGAUUAGUGUAAACCAAACCGGUUUGGGGGUCGGUAUAAGUCGAAUUCGAUUGGAACAGAGCGAAAUCCAAAGGGUUGUUAACCGGAUCAGUGGACCAAGGGAAGUAAGGGUAAGAAUCGAGGAAGAAGAAAGAGUUUGUUCCGUUGAGAAACUUCAGCAACGGUAACAUCACCGGAGCGGCGACUUCUUCCCGGAACGCACCGCUCGACGGAGGAAAGCUCGUUCGAAGAACAUCCAUGGCGAGUGGUGUCCCCACUUUGAUGUUGUGAAUCCCUCUCGCUCUAAGAGAAGUAAUGGCAACAUACACAAAUAUAAGAACUUAUCUCCAUUUUCUUCAAUCUUUACAUAUAUUUAGCGUCUUACUCUUACGGAUCUGGGCAAAACCUAUUGAAGCAUGCAUUGCUUUCAUCCCAAAUUUUUUUAAGGUUUUUUUUAUAGACAUAGGCCCCAUAGUUAUGAAUUUUUUAUCAAGUUUUUUAAAAAUGUUUCAAGCCCUAAAAAUUUCAGAUUCGCCUCUGAAACCAAUCUAGCAAAACUUAAUGUAGUUUUACACCAAAAAAAAAAACUUAAUGUAGUUCCCGACUUGGUGAUUGUAUAUGCUCUGGUUCAGUUCGUUAUAGUUUUUCCAUAAUGUCCUAUAUCAUUUUCUCACUAUAUUUAUCACACAUUAAUAUAUGGGCAAUUCUUUCAAAUAACCACUUUUAAGUUUUUUGUCACAAAAAGAGCUCUAAAACAUGACCAAAAUUUAUUUUAUUUUGAAAUUUUUAAUUUUUAAUUUUUUAAAAUUUGAAACCCUAUCCCCAAAAAUUCACCCCUUAACUCUAAAUUUUACCUUUUAAUAAAAUUUUUUUGGUCAUUUUUCUCAUUAAUUGCUAUUUUUGUGACAAAAUUUUUAAAAACUAUCCUUCAGAAUUUCUCUUAAUAUUAUAUUACCAGAUAGAUAAAACAUGAGAGAUGCGUAAUCUUCGUUUUUAACAUAUUAGUAACAAAUUGUCGUUGUUUAUUCAAUCUUUCUCAACAAUAGAAAACAAGGAGUUAAAACUUCGAAUAAUAGGAAAUUGAUAAUUAUCAAGAACAAGAUUUGACUUGAAAAAUACUAAUGAUCCAGCUUUUGAUCCUUCUCCAUACGCCUUAGUUUUGAAUCUUGGGGAACUCUCAAAGGGUAACGCUAGGGAACGUGCAAUGUUCAUUUCCUGUAGAAAAUAGUCAUUAAAAUCAUAAAAUGUUUAAAUGUUCGUAUGUCUAGUAUAUUCUUGUUAGAAACAUAAUGAAGUGUUUUGAGAAACUCACCUGGAUUGGUCGUGGUCUCACGCGCCAAGCCAUUGAAGUAACACCGCGAGCUUUGGUUCCGGAACUGUGCCCAGUACGAGCUAAACGCAUAACUUGCAUGCCAAGUAAGCGAAACCGGUGCGUAACACUCUCUUCCCGGCGCCAAAGCUGCACACGUUGCGUUACUUUGUCCGCAAGCAAAGUUAAGCGCCUGCUGUAACUCCGCCUCGCUGGCUCCUUCAACCGCCACACACCAGACAUUCCCCUUGAACGGAACAUUGUUACUCGGUUUAGGCAACGAACCAGGGCUAGGAACCGGUCUUGUCCCGCUGAAAUCGAUUUCGUAGAUCUGUGUACCGUCCGGAUUCAAAAUUCCCCAAUGCCUCUCUGUUCCCGAACCGGGUUUCUGGUUUUCAUUGAACAACGAGAACAAAAAUGUCGGUAUAGGUGAACCGGGUCUAACCGGUGUACCGAUUGGCGGGUUAGCAGUCAUCUUCUUGAUCAAAUUCCGGUUAUACGUCGCCGCAUUGAGAAUGUUGGCUCCGGUUUCGUCGAUAUCACCGGAGUUAGGCCACCCGGUUUCAGAGAUUGCAAGCCGGACGUUUGGAUAACCGAGCUUGGUCAUCGCGAAAAUAACCGAAUCGAGCAUCUG